GGUUGACCUCGGAUCAGGUAGGGAUACCCGCUGAACUAAAGCAUAUCAU
This 49-nucleotide ribosomal RNA is filed under the name Penicillium sp. RNAcentral describes it as "partial 28S ribosomal RNA". The record is from RNAcentral. Lineage: Eukaryota; Fungi; Ascomycota; Eurotiomycetes; Eurotiales; Aspergillaceae.